UGGCUCAGAUUGAACGCUGGCGGCAGGCCUAACACAUGCAAGUCGAGCGGCAGCACAGGUACUUGUACUGGGUGGCGAGCGGCGGACGGGUGAGUAAUACCUAGGAAUCUGCCUGAUAGUGGGGGACAACGUUCGGAAACGGACGCUAAUACCGCAUACGUCCUACGGGAGAAAGCAGGGGACCUUCGGGCCUUGCGCUAUCAGAUGAGCCUAGGUCGGAUUAGCUAGUUGGUGAGGUAAUGGCUCACCAAGGCGACGAUCCGUAACUGGUCUGAGAGGAUGAUCAGUCACACUGGAACUGAGACACGGUCCAGACUCCUACGGGAGGCAGCAGUGGGGAAUAUUGGACAAUGGGCGAAAGCCUGAUCCAGCCAUGCCGCGUGUGUGAAGAAGGUCUUCGGAUUGUAAAGCACUUUAAGUUGGGAGGAAGGGCAUUAACCUAAUACGUUAGUGUUUUGACGUUACCGACAGAAUAAGCACCGGCUAACUCUGUGCCAGCA
RNAcentral lists this ribosomal RNA (500 nucleotides) under uncultured bacterium. RNAcentral describes it as "bacterial SSU rRNA". It matches the Rfam family "Bacterial small subunit ribosomal RNA", at positions 20 to 513 of the family's 1533-position model. The record is from RNAcentral.